This 247-nucleotide ribosomal RNA is filed under the name uncultured bacterium. RNAcentral describes it as "partial 16S ribosomal RNA". It matches the Rfam family "Bacterial small subunit ribosomal RNA", at positions 523 to 769 of the family's 1533-position model. The record is from RNAcentral.
AGACGGAGGGGGCUAGCGUUGUUCGGAAUGACUGGGCGUAAAGGGCGCGUAGGUGGUAUUUUAAGUGAGGCGUGAAAGCCCCGGGCUUAACCCGGGAGGUGCGUUUCAUACUGGAAUGCUAGAGUGCGAGAGAGGAAAGUGGAAUUCCUAGUGUAGAGGUGAAAUUCGUAGAUAUUAGGAAGAACACCAGAGGCGAAGGCGGCUUUCUGGCUCGCAACUGACGCUGAGGCGCGAAAGCGUGGGGAGC